Molecule: ribosomal RNA, 253 nt
Filed under: Gammaproteobacteria bacterium
Lineage: Bacteria; Pseudomonadati; Pseudomonadota; Gammaproteobacteria
Also listed under: 1 other name
Description: partial 16S ribosomal RNA
Rfam family: Bacterial small subunit ribosomal RNA
Source: RNAcentral
UACAGAGGGUGCGAGCGUUAAUCGGAUUUACUGGGCGUAAAGGGCGCGUAGGUGGUUGUGUAAGUGAGAUGUGAAAUCCCUGGGCUUAACCUAGGAACUGCAUCUCAUACUGUAUAGCUAGAGUAUUGUAGAGGGUAGUGGAAUUUCCGGUGUAGCGGUGAAAUGCGUAGAGAUCGGAAGGAACACCAGUGGCGAAGGCGGCUACCUGGACAAAUACUGACACUGAUGCGCGAGAGCGUGGGGAGCAAACAGG